AGAGUUAAUCUGGGAGUACAUUAGGGCCGUCCACACAUCAAGGCUAUCAGGUGGAGCUGCAAAAAUGCCAAGGACUGCUAAUUGGAGCCCAGAAGCUGAUUUUUACCGAGAAUUGUUCAGGACCCAGAAAUUUGUGCGGAGAGUGUCCUCUACUGAACUGGGUGCUGCUCUUGUGAGCAAAGAAAGCAAUGAUCAUGAAAUAUCUACACAAGUUAUAACAAGCUACAUGCUGAUGGGUGUUAUCAA
RNAcentral lists this unclassified non-coding RNA (246 nucleotides) under Hevea brasiliensis (rubber tree). Lineage: Eukaryota; Viridiplantae; Streptophyta; Magnoliopsida; Malpighiales; Euphorbiaceae. The record is from RNAcentral.